RNAcentral lists this ribosomal RNA (468 nucleotides) under uncultured bacterium. RNAcentral's name for it is "partial 16S ribosomal RNA". It matches the Rfam family "Bacterial small subunit ribosomal RNA", at positions 28 to 507 of the family's 1533-position model. The record is from RNAcentral.
GACGAGCGCUGGCGGCGUGCUUAACACAUGCAAGUCGAACGGAAAGGCCCUGCUUUUGUGGGGUGCUCGAGUGGCGAGCGGGUGAGUAACACGUGAGUAACCUGCCCUUGACUUUGGGAUAACUUCAGGAAACUGGGGCUAAUACCGGAUAGGAGCUCCUGCUGCAUGGUGGGGGUUGGAAAGUUUCGGCGGUUGGGGAUGGACUCGCGGCUUAUCAGCUUGUUGGUGGGGUAGUGGCUUACCAAGGCUUUGACGGGUAGCCGGCCUGAGAGGGUGACCGGCCACAUUGGGACUGAGAUACGGCCCAGACUCCUACGGGAGGCAGCAGUGGGGAAUAUUGCACAAUGGGCGGAAGCCUGAUGCAGCAACGCCGCGUGCGGGAUGACGGCCUUCGGGUUGUAAACCGCUUUCGCCUGUGACGAAGCGUGAGUGACGGUAAUGGGUAAAGAAGCACCGGCUAACUACGUG